UGUAAGUCAGCGAAUAUGUCUCUCUAUUUCACUCAUUCAUUAACAGACUCACACUCUGUCAGAAGUGCCAAGUGGCACAUGCUAUGAGCAAUUCACAGACUUUGCCCUUGUCAUCAGAGUGGACCCAGCAAGUGUCACUUGGUAAAAGCUAUUGCCACACUCCUCUCUCCAGCCCAGCUGACCCCUUCCACUCUGGUUCUUCAGGAAACUGCAUCUCUCUAGAAUCUAGUGUCUAGAUGCUCAGCAAGCCUUCUGCAAGGGCCAGAGCCCAGAUUCCCCGGUUCCUGCCGGUGGGAUCAACCCUGUCUACCCUUUAGAGAACUCAGGCUUCAGAGACCCAUUCACGUAUGGACUGUAAGGUUUUGGGUGGAGCAGGAUGAUGACUCAGCCCUGUAAGCGGGCAGGACCCGACCUGUUGGAGAGAGAUAAGGGCCGCUCCUUGCCUCUCAUGCCGCUUUCCCUCCCUUUCCCCCUUCCCUGACUGUUAUUCCUGGAAAUUGGGUUUUCCUUGUGUUUAUUUUGUGUGGGGUAAAGGGACGGGGGUGGGGUGGGGGCAUAAUCUUGGUCUGGGCAUGUCUAGGAAACUCCGGGGCAGGAAGGAGUGGCUAUGGUGUCCUGGUGUCGGGUGCUCAACACUGUGCAAGCCUCUGGUCACAGCUGCUCCGCGGGCCUCCGAACUGUACGCUCUUACCAGGACCUCCGGCUCGCAUCGCUUAGAACGAGAAGAUUGUGUGCUGCACAAAAGAGACCCAGGCUGGGCUGUCGGAGUCAAGGGUCAAGUGCCUCACCUCACAUAGUGCUGUCUCCUCCCAAGGAAGGGGGCUUCCUCUUCACUUAAAGGCGCUGCCCGCUCACCAAGCCACACACCCCUGCCGGACUGCAGUCCGCAGAUGGAAACUAUGCGAGGAAGAGAAAAAGUUAAAUCCAGGCGAUCCUGAAGGUGAGCUGGCCCCCGGGGAACCUGGAAAUUCCCUUACUAGCCCAGCCCUCCCCAGGCAGAGGCUUUUAAUCCCAGCUGAAGAUCAGUCCCCGGAGCAGGGCUGAGAAGCUCUACAAGGAACCCCUGGGCCAGGGUCUCUGCCCCUCCUCGGUGCUCCGACUGGCUUGGGGUGGCCUGAAAGUCCAGCUAGGCCUUCCACCUGCACCCUGAGGCUGGCAGGUAAGUGUCCUGAGGGCGCUCUUUACACAGCAAGCCCCACCCUUGGGAGAGGCUGCCUGUUGCUAGGUGGAGCAGUUUGCUGGGGCAAUUAAACGCGGGGUGAAGGCAGCCCCAACCAGGCUCAACAGCAGAGCCAAGAAGCUGAACUCUGAUUCGCAGCCCUCGCGCCAGCUCUGUGUUCCCUUCAACCCGGUUGCUCCAACUAGAAAUUCCCAGGACGAGUCUGAUGCUUCCAGGGCUGGUUGCUGCUGAGCUAGUCGGCAGACGGCUGGAAUCCUCCAGGGCUUGAUAAUUGAGACAACCCACACGCCCCUGCAGAAAAGCAAAUUAGGAGUUGCAGACGCAAAUUUUAAGGAGGCGCAUGCCUCGCAAUCAUGCAGGGGCAGGAUCUGGCCCUGAGAGUGUGUGCCUCCUUAAAUGUUGCAACCAAUCAACCUUGCUUGGCCAGCCUCCGCAGUCCCAGCCUUGACUAGUAGUGGAAUGUCGUAAGCCAAAAGUCGGUGCUUUUGAAUUCCUGCAGGAUGCCUGCCCACUCUGUUCUUAAACUUGAGGAUCCUCUAGUGAAGAUCAAGAUGUAGACCUCUCUGCAGUGGGAAUUCGCUCAGCCCAUCACCUUGGGCUAUCUGGCCUGAUAUAGGCAGUGCUUCUUAUCUGCCUACAUGACCCCUUAAAAGGGAGAAGAAAGGGGUUUGAGCUCUCUUGGGUGGUGAAGACUGAAUCAGGUGGCAUAAAGCAGCGUGUGAUUGGUCCCCAGCUUUCCAACGACUCUGCAACUGGAUUUACCUUAUCCUGUAUCACCGAGGGACCGUGCAAGACAGAAACUUUCGUCUACACCUCUCAGUCAGCUUCUUCUCCAGCACCAUGUCUGCCUGCAUGCUGCCCUGCUUCUCUCCGUGAUGAUAAUGGACCAAACUC
Peromyscus leucopus (white-footed mouse) is the source of this 2074-nucleotide long non-coding RNA. RefSeq lists it as uncharacterized. Lineage: Eukaryota; Metazoa; Chordata; Mammalia; Rodentia; Cricetidae. The record is from RefSeq and is a predicted model, not a curated record. The transcript has 4 exons.